CAGUAGCCACGGGAAUACGGAGGGUGCAAGCGUUAAUCGGAAUUACUGGGCGUAAAGCGCACGCAGGCGGUUUGUUAAGUCAGAUGUGAAAUCCCCGAGCUUAACUUGGGAACUGCAUUUGAAACUGGCAAGCUAGAGUCUUGUAGAGGGGGGUAGAAUUCCAGGUGUAGCGGUGAAAUGCGUAGAGAUCUGGAGGAGUACCGGUGGCGAAGGCGGCCCCCUGGACAAAGACUGACGCUCAGGUGCGAAAGCGUGGGGAGCAAACAGGAUUAGAUACCCGAGUAGUCCCUGUCUCUUAUAC
Molecule: ribosomal RNA, 301 nt
Filed under: uncultured bacterium
Lineage: Bacteria
Description: partial 16S ribosomal RNA
Rfam family: Bacterial small subunit ribosomal RNA
Source: RNAcentral